AUUGAACGCUGGCGGCAGGCCUAACACAUGCAAGUCGGGCGGAGGAUGGGAGCUUGCUCCUGGAUUCAGCGGCGGACGGGUGAGUAAUGCCUAUGAAUCUGCCUGGUCGUGGGGGAUAACGUCCGGAAACGGGCGCUAAUACUGCAUACGUCCUGUGGGCGGAAGAGGGUGGUCCUCGGACCUCACGCUAUCAUAUGAGCCUAGGUCGGAUUAGCUAGUUGGUGGGGUAAAGGCCUACCAAGGCGACGAUCCGUAACUGGUCUGAGAGGAUGACCAGUCACACUGGAAGUGAGACACGGUCCAGACUCCUACGGGAGGCAACGGUGGGGAAUAUUGGACGAUGGGCGAAAGCCUGAUCCAGCCAUGCCGCGUGUGUGAAGAAGGUCUUCGGAUUGUAAAGCACUUUAAGUUGGGGGGAAGGGCAGUAAGUUAAUACCUUGCUGUUUUGACGUUACCAACAGAAGAAGCACCGGCUAACUUCGUG
This 484-nucleotide ribosomal RNA is filed under the name uncultured bacterium. RNAcentral's name for it is "partial 16S ribosomal RNA". It matches the Rfam family "Bacterial small subunit ribosomal RNA", at positions 30 to 507 of the family's 1533-position model. The record is from RNAcentral.